GCAGAUAUUCAGAAAAAUGUACAUGUCCUUAAGUAAAUAGCUUAAAGAAUUUCCACAAACUGGACAUACUCACGUAACCAGCAUCCAGAUCAAGGUACAGAGCUCCAGCAGCCGCCCAGAAAGACACCUUGUACCCCUUCUCGUCAUUUGCCCUCCUCAAGGACUACCACCGUCCUGAUGGCUGACAGCCUGGAUUCGUUUCGCCUGUCUCUGACCUUCACGUGAGCGGGGUCAAGCACUGGUGCUCUCAUGGCAGCCUUCUUGGGUCAACACCGUGACCGUGAGAUCCAACCGUGUUGGUGGAGUCGUGACUCACUUGUUGAGACUGACAUUUUAAUCUGAGGAGCUCUGAGUCUUCAGAGCUGAAAGGAGACAGUCUGACAAAUUACGGAAUCAGAGAGAGGUAGGUCGAGGCAGCAUGUCUGGGCACAUUCCUGAACUUCCUGUUUCUCUGUUUCUAUGGAACCGGGGAGAACAUAGAUUUCUCCCUCAUCAGGUCCCUGUGAUGAGCCGGUGAGUCCAAGGGCGAGGUGUUCAGAGCGGCGCCUGGCGCACGGGGAGCGCUCUGCGGGAGCCCUGCUACCAAUCCCUCCACUACUCGGGUGUUUUUAUAUCACCCAGAGGGAAAAGGAGGUUUCAACGAUGAGUAUUUGAUAGUAGUUAUUAUAAAAAUAAAAUGAUUUCGAGGUUACACCUCGGCGAGUUAAGACAUCUCGCUAAACCGGUGAGACGUGUGUCAUCUCAAGAAGCACAUCAGCCCUGAGGGGUUACUAGAUGCUCAUUUGACAGAAGAGGCCACUGAGGCGCCGAGGGAGAAGAGCUCCCUGGGGUCCCAGAGCGAGUUGGCGGCGCCUCGCCCCUCGGGCCUCGGAAUCCUGCUCUCCUCUUCGCCCUUUCACCUGCUGCUCAUCUCCUGCUGGGUCCAGCGUCCUCAGCUCCACUGGGGCGACCGCCCCGGGCUGCCGCUGGCAUGACCCCUCCAUGCCGUGCUGCCUUUAGAACUUACUGGAAUGUUUGCUGUGUUGAUUUUCCCGUCGACCUGUCCCCCUGAGGCUCAGUCUUUCUUGUGGGUCUCAGGAGCAGCACGUCGUGAAACGCCAGAUGUGGCGUCAACUCUUCCACCUCCUUGAAUCUGGCCUGGCCUUGACCUUUGACCAACAGAACAUGGUGGAAGGGAUGCUCCCCGAGUUCUGGGCUUCCUGCUGUGUAGCCCUGAGCCGCCAUGAAAAGAAUUCCCGGCUACUCCAGUGGACGAGCACUGAGGCGCCAUCUUGGGCACCUAGGCCAAGUCAAGGUGAUGUCAACCCUGCGGCCCACGGCCUGCAACUGCCGCAGACCCCAAGUGAGAACCGCGCAGCUGAGCCCACCGAACCCACAGAACUGGGAUUGACCACAAGAGACUGUUGUUUUUAAGGCACUAAAUUCUGAGGUGGUUUGUCAUGCAUCACCUGAUAGCCAGAAUAAUAUAUAAAUAUAACAUACGUAUGUAAUUACUUCUAUUUUCAUAUUUACUAUUUUAAUUAAAGUAUUGUUAUUAUAAAAGUAAUACAAAAGUGCUGUAAAAAAUGGAGAAAUGUAACACCACCCUGGUCACACGGAUUUAACCCCAAUCACAGUCACUAUUAGCAUUUUGGGGUGUAUUCUCCCAGAUUUCUUUCCUAUGGACGCUUUUCAUACAGCAGUUCAAGAGCAUCUUUUUUUUCCCUUUACCAUUAUGUCAUCAUCGUUAUUCUACAUUGCCACAGAAAACUACACUAAUAAUUCUAUUAAUAGCCACUUAAAGUAGACAGAAUAAUAGCCCCCACAGAGAUGUCUAUACCCUCAUCCUUUGAACUUAUAAAUAUGGUACUUUAGGCGACAAGAGGGACUUUGCGGGUGUGAUUAGGGUAAGGAUCUUGAGGUGGGGAGAUGAACCUGGACCAUCCAGUAAGCCCAGUGUAACCACAAGGGUCCUCGUAAGAGAGAGGCGGGAGGGUCAAAGUCAGGAAAGGUGAUGCGAGUAAGGAAGCAGGGCCAGAGAGGGAGCAGAUGAUGCCACGCUGUUGGCUUUGAAGAUGGAGGAUGUGACAUGAGCCAAGCAAUUCGGCCUCUAGAAGCUGGAAAACAGGGAGCAGAUUCUCCCCUAGAGCCUCUGGGAGGGAUGCAGGUCUGCUGAAACCCGGAUUCUAGCUCCGUAAGACCCACUUCUGGACUUGUGACCUCCAGAACUGUAAGGUAAUGACUUCGUGUUGCUUUAAGCCGCUGAGUUUGUGAUAAUUUUUGGGAGCGGCCAUAGGAAACUAACGGGUCAGCUGACUGAACAUUUUACACACUGUCUCUUACUCAUCCUCACAACCCGCCUGUGAGGCAGGUCCCGUUACCAUCUCCACUUUAGAAAUGAGGAAGCUGGUGCUCAGAGGGAUGAAGGGACUUCCUCAGGACAUGGGCUGGCCCCGCCCUUUAUGGCUCCGCUUACAAAUACCAAUAGUAUUGGGUUUAUCUGGACUCGUGUGAACAUACAGACGUCAGUCGAGGCCUCUGUUGUGGCGCCAUCUU
This is a long non-coding RNA of Equus quagga, 2535 nucleotides long. RefSeq lists it as uncharacterized. The transcript has 2 exons. The record is from RefSeq and is a predicted model, not a curated record. NCBI's taxonomy places the organism in Eukaryota, Metazoa, Chordata, Mammalia, Perissodactyla, Equidae.